UGACCCGUUUUGAAGCACGGACCAAGGAGUCUAACAUGUACGCGAGUCAUUGGGAAUGUAAAACCCAAAGGCGUAAUGAAAGUGAAGAUCCAUUUCUGGAUUUGAGGAGAGAUCAUGGAUUCAACUUCAGAUUCCGAAAGGUUGUUUGAGUGAAGUAUGCGCAUCUUCUGGAGGUCUAUACCUCUGAAGGUGGGGCGUACCUAGAGCGUACACGUUGGGACCCGAAAGAUGGUGAACUAUGCCUGGUCAGGACGAAGCCAGGGGAAACCCUGGUGGAGGUUUGUAGCGAUUUUGACGUGCAAAUCGAUAGUCGGAAAUGGGUAUAGGGGCGAAAGACUAAUCGAACCAUCUAGUAGCUGGUUCC
This 364-nucleotide ribosomal RNA is filed under the name Stenaphorura denisi. Its description in RNAcentral is "partial 28S ribosomal RNA". It matches the Rfam family "Eukaryotic large subunit ribosomal RNA", at positions 645 to 958 of the family's 3401-position model. Lineage: Eukaryota; Metazoa; Arthropoda; Collembola; Poduromorpha; Tullbergiidae. The record is from RNAcentral.